GCCCGUGGCUCAAUGGUUAGAGCGUUUGACUUCCGAUCAAAAGGUCAGGGGUUCAAGCCUCGGUUGGGGCA
This is a non-coding RNA of Schistocephalus solidus, 71 nucleotides long. The record is from Rfam. Lineage: Eukaryota; Metazoa; Platyhelminthes; Cestoda; Diphyllobothriidea; Diphyllobothriidae.